RNAcentral lists this long non-coding RNA (1245 nucleotides) under Gossypium barbadense (sea-island cotton). Its description in RNAcentral is "long non-coding RNA (GBAR_LNC017434)". Lineage: Eukaryota; Viridiplantae; Streptophyta; Magnoliopsida; Malvales; Malvaceae. The record is from RNAcentral.
GCGGAUCCUCAGGUAAUGGGUCGGGUCGACGCGCGGAUCCACCCCCACCAAAACGGCGCCGUUUUGUGUUUAGUAUAAAUAAUAAGAAAAAUCAAAAAAAUCAAAUCAGUUUCAUCUUUAAAAAAAAACAGAGAGAGAGAGCUCUCUCCUCUCUCAUCUUCCUCCCCAGAAUCCGGCCGCCUCCGGUCAUGGAGCCGUCGCGCCGGCCACCGUACACGGUGGCCGGAAAAUUCAAAAGGUAUGUUUUUCUUUUUUUUUUUAUAUGUUAUGUAUAUAGUUUAAAAGAUAAAAGAAACAAAAUCAAACACGAAUAAUUCGAAAGAAAAAAAAUAAAGAAAAAAAAACUAAAAAAAAGAAAAUAAAUAUACCGAAAAUGGGGUUGUUGAAUUUUGUUUUUUAUUUCUUAUUUCUUGAAUUUUUUUGCAAAAAGGGGAAAAGGGGGGGGGGCCUCUGUUACAGAGAGGAUACUUGGCUUUAUAGCCAAUUUUACAUGCUAUUUUAGUCUUUUUUUUCUUUUUCUCUGUUUGCCACUGUGCUUUGCGUGAUUUUCUUCUUUGCAGGCAAGUGGGGUGAUGGGCGAGCGGCAGAGCAGGUGGAGCAGGUGAGCAGCGAUGGGACGCCGGUAUGGGUUCUUUUGUUUCUUUCUUGGGUCCGGGCAAAUGGGCCUGCAACAUGCUUUAUAUAUCUUAAAAGAUUCCAAAAAGAUAUGUAAAUGCUAGCCUGAUAGUAAGUCGAUUCAUCCAUGUAUAGUCAUGUCCUUAGCUGUAUAUAGGCUUCUACAACCAUUUAACCCACCAAGUUGGUGGUCCUUGUUUUUUCUAGCUAAGUACUCUGUAAGCAUUAUUGAAGAGCUCUUAUUUUGGCCACAUAUUAUUGCUGUACAUUGGAAUCCCUUUUUGUUUUUGGGAAGAAGAAAAGGUAUCUUUGAAUCAUUGAAUCCCUAUUCACAUGUAUGUUUCCUAUAUGAAUUUCUUGUUUCAACAUUGAAUGGUUAAUGAACCAAUUCCCAAUACACCGUUGAAUGCUUAUCUUUAGAUUCUUUUGCAUUGGCUAUAAUCAUUCCUAGUUAUGAGCCAAUUUACAAGAUACAAGUGUUUUAUGUAGUGGGAAAAAGAAAUAGUAGAAAUGUCUUGGGAUUCGGUUUUCAUUGAGCUAUCUAAUUAGAGAUGACAAUGAAACGGGUGGGAGUAUAUUUUGCUAAAUCUACCAUUGUUCUAUAGUUGAUAUGUUCUGCUCCACCAUCCG